GGGGAUGUAGCUCAGUGGCAGAGCGCCCGCUUUGCAUUGCACAAAUGCGGGAGGUCUAGGGUUCGAUCCCCUACUUCUCCA
Melanomma pulvis-pyrius CBS 109.77 is the source of this 81-nucleotide non-coding RNA. The record is from the annotation of a GenBank genome assembly. Lineage: Eukaryota; Fungi; Ascomycota; Dothideomycetes; Pleosporales; Melanommataceae.